GCAAUGGAGGGACGCAGGAGGCUAAGAAGUGCAGACUGAUGGAUAUGUCUGUUCAAGCAGUAAGUCUUGGUAGGAGUCAAAUGCUUCUACCUAUACGGACAAGCUGUGAUGAGGAGGGAAAUAAUAGUACCGAAGCUUCUGAUGUCACACUGCCAAGAAAAGCUUCUAGUGAGAAAACAACGGCCCGUACCGCAAACCGACACAGGUAGUCGAGGAGAGAAUCCUAAGGUGAGCGAGAGAACUCUCGUUAAGGAACUCGGCAAAAUGACCCCGUAACUUCGGGAGAAGGGGUGCUGAUCAUACGAUCAGCCGCAGUGAAUAGGCCCAAGCGACUGUUUAUCAAAAACACAGGUCUCUGCAAAAUCGUAAGAUGAAGUAUAGGGGCUGACGCCUGCCCGGUGCUGGAA
Molecule: ribosomal RNA, 407 nt
Filed under: Escherichia coli
Lineage: Bacteria; Pseudomonadati; Pseudomonadota; Gammaproteobacteria; Enterobacterales; Enterobacteriaceae
Description: bacterial LSU rRNA
Rfam family: Bacterial large subunit ribosomal RNA
Source: RNAcentral